UCGAACGCGUUGGCCCAAUUGAUUGAUGGUGCUUGCACCUGAUUGAUUUUGGUCGCCAACGAGUGGCGGACGGGUGAGUAACACGUAGGUAACCUGCCCAGAAGCGGGGGACAACAUUUGGAAACAGAUGCUAAUACCGCAUAACAGCGUUGUUCGCAUGAACAACGCUUAAAAGAUGGCUUCUCGCUAUCACUUCUGGAUGGACCUGCGGUGCAUUAGCUUGUUGGUGGGGUAACGGCCUACCAAGGCGAUGAUGCAUAGCCGAGUUGAGAGACUGAUCGGCCACAAUGGGACUGAGACACGGCCCAUACUCCUACGGGAGGCAGCAGUAGGGAAUCUUCCACAAUGGGCGCAAGCCUGAUGGAGCAACACCGCGUGAGUGAAGAAGGGUUUCGGCUCGUAAAGCUCUGUUGUUAAAGAAGAACACGUAUGAGAGUAACUGUUCAUACGUUGACGGUAUUUAACCAGAAAGUCACGGCUAACUACGUGCCAGCAGCCGCGGUAAUACGUAGGUGGCAAGCGUUAUCCGGAUUUAUUGGGCGUAAAGAGAGUGCAGGCGGUUUUCUAAGUCUGAUGUGAAAGCCUUCGGCUUAACCGGAGAAGUGCAUCGGAAACUGGAUAACUUGAGUGCAGAAGAGGGUAGUGGAACUCCAUGUGUAGCGGUGGAAUGCGUAGAUAUAUGGAAGAACACCAGUGGCGAAGGCGGCUACCUGGUCUGCAACUGACGCUGAGACUCGAAAGCAUGGGUAGCGAACAGGAUUAGAUACCCUGGUAGUCCAUGCCGUAAACGAUGAGUGCUAGGUGUUGGAGGGUUUCCGCCCUUCAGUGCCGGAGCUAACGCAUUAAGCACUCCGCCUGGGGAGUACGACCGCAAGGUUGAAACUCAAAGGAAUUGACGGGGGCCCGCACAAGCGGUGGAGCAUGUGGUUUAAUUCGAAGCUACGCGAAGAACCUUACCAGGUCUUGACAUCUUGCGCCAACCCUAGAGAUAGGGCGUUUCCUUCGGGAACGCAAUGACAGGUGGUGCAUGGUCGUCGUCAGCUCGUGUCGUGAGAUGUUGGGUUAAGUCCCGCAACGAGCGCAACCCUUGUUACUAGUUGCCAGCAUUAAGUUGGGCACUCUAGUGAGACUGCCGGUGACAAACCGGAGGAAGGUGGGGACGACGUCAGAUCAUCAUGCCCCUUAUGACCUGGGCUACACACGUGCUACAAUGGACGGUACAACGAGUCGCGAACUCGCGAGGGCAAGCAAAUCUCUUAAAACCGUUCUCAGUUCGGACUGCAGGCUGCAACUCGCCUGCACGAAGUCGGAAUCGCUAGUAAUCGCGGAUCAGCAUGCCGCGGUGAAUACGUUCCCGGGCCUUGUACACACCGCCCGUCACACCAUGAGAGUUUGUAACACCCAAAGUCGGUGGG
RNAcentral lists this ribosomal RNA (1415 nucleotides) under Limosilactobacillus fermentum. Its description in RNAcentral is "bacterial SSU rRNA". It matches the Rfam family "Bacterial small subunit ribosomal RNA". Lineage: Bacteria; Bacillati; Bacillota; Bacilli; Lactobacillales; Lactobacillaceae. The record is from RNAcentral.